This is a non-coding RNA of Camellia sinensis, 685 nucleotides long. The record is from RefSeq and is a predicted model, not a curated record. Lineage: Eukaryota; Viridiplantae; Streptophyta; Magnoliopsida; Ericales; Theaceae.
AGAGCCCUUAAUUUCACAACACUUUCAAAACAGUGAGCAAACCUAUCUGAGAGAGAAAAGAUAGAGGGUUUGAAGAGAGACUGGGGUUGAAGGGGAAGGGUUUCAAUCGGCGGCGAGACUGGUUCAACAGCGGGAAGACUAGUUCGGCGGCGAGACGGUACGCUUCUUUUGACUCUUUUUUCGACUCUCUCAUUCCAGUCGGUUCCUCUAUACCUCUAUGUUGCCCCCACCGCCAUAGCCAUAGCAGCUUAUUAGUGGUGGUGGUUGUUUUCUGCGAGCAUUGGUAAUGUCGCAGAAGCGGCAGCAAGAGGACUCCAAGGGUAGUUCGGAGGGCAAUGGGUCCGGUGAAAAGCAUCGCAAACAUCCUUCUUUCAGAAGGUGGAAAAUUUUGAGAAAAUGUUCAGUCUAUUGCAAACUGGAUGAAUGAGUUCCAGUCGAUGAAGCUUAAUAUUGUUAGAAUUGGGGUGGAACAAGAGGACAAUUCUGUGAAGAAAGCACUUCAAAGCCAUCUUCACCAAACCUCAAGAGCUCAGGCACUAGGAAAGAGGUAAUUAAACACAGAAUUUGCUAUUACAAUGACACGAAACCAUCUUCACUAAUCCUCAAAAUGCACUUGAAAGUUUGGCCUUUGUAACUUGGCUUUUAGUUUCAUGCAACAUAUAUAUUUUUUCUUCUCUAGCUUGUU